Molecule: ribosomal RNA, 303 nt
Filed under: uncultured bacterium
Lineage: Bacteria
Description: partial 16S ribosomal RNA
Rfam family: Bacterial small subunit ribosomal RNA
Source: RNAcentral
AGCAGUAGCCACGGUAAUACGAAGGGGGCUAGCGUUGCUCGGAAUUACUGGGCGUAAAGGGAGCGUAGGCGGAUCGUUAAGUUGGGGGUGAAAGCCCGGGGCUCAACCUCGGAACUGCCUUCAAUACUGGCGAUCUUGAGUAUGAGAGAGGUGUGUGGAACUCCGAGUGUAGAGGUGAAAUUCGUAGAUAUUCGGAAGAACACCAGUGGCGAAGGCGACACACUGGCUCAUUACUGACGCUGAGGCUCGAAAGCGUGGGGAGCAAACAGGAUUAGAUACCCGAGUAGUCCCUGUCUCUUAUAC